This 277-nucleotide ribosomal RNA is filed under the name uncultured bacterium. Its description in RNAcentral is "partial 16S ribosomal RNA". It matches the Rfam family "Bacterial small subunit ribosomal RNA", at positions 524 to 796 of the family's 1533-position model. The record is from RNAcentral.
UACGGAGGGUGCGAGCGUUAAUCGGAUUUACUGGGCGUAAAGCGUGCGUAGGCGGCAUGUUAAGUCGGAUGUGAAAUCCCAGGGCUUAACCUUGGAACUGCAUCCGAAACUGGCAAGCUAGAGAUCGGUAGAGGUUGGUGGAAUUCCCGGUGUAGCGGUGAAAUGCGUAGAUAUCGGGAGGAACAUCGAUGGCGAAGGCAGCCAACUGGGCCUGAUCUGACGCUCAGGGACGGAAAGCAUGGGGUAGCGAAACGGGAUUCAGAUACCCCCGUAGUCC